This 481-nucleotide ribosomal RNA is filed under the name uncultured bacterium. Its description in RNAcentral is "partial 16S ribosomal RNA". It matches the Rfam family "Bacterial small subunit ribosomal RNA", at positions 28 to 523 of the family's 1533-position model. The record is from RNAcentral.
GACGAACGCUGGCGGCGUGCUUAACACAUGCAAGUCGAACGCUGAAGCCCUUCGGGGUGGAUGAGUGGCGAACGGGUGAGUAACACGUGGGUAAUCUGCCCUGCACUCUGGGAUAAGCCUUGGAAACGGGGUCUAAUACCGGAUAGGACACAUCGCCGCAUGGUGUGUGUGUGGAAAGUUCCGGCGGUGCAGGUUGAGCCCGCGGCCUAUCAGCUUGUUGGUGGGGUGAUGGCCUACCAAGGCGACGACGGGUAGCCGGCCUGAGAGGGUGACCGGCCACACUGGGACUGAGACACGGCCCAGACUCCUACGGGAGGCAGCAGUGGGGAAUCUUGCGCAAUGGGCGAAAGCCUGACGCAGCAACGCCGCGUGGGGGAUGACGGCCUUCGGGUUGUAAACCUCUUUCGACCGGGACGAAGGAUUCGUUUGACGGUACCGGUAGAAGAAGCACCGGCUAACUACGUGCCAGCAGCCGCGGUAA